AUGUCACGGGCGCCUCCCGCGUUGGCGGCUCCGGCCAACUCCACGUUCUCCCACCUCUUCCAGCUCUGCGCCCGCGGCGGCCGCGCUGCCCUCGACGCCGGGCGCGCCGCGCACGCGCGCAUGCUCGUGUCCGGGUUCGUCCCGACAGCCUUCGUCUCGAACUGCCUCCUGCAGAUGUACGCCCGCUGCGCAGACGCCGCAUGUGCUCGCAGGGUGUUCGACGCGAUGCCCCACAGGGACACCGUCUCGUGGAACACCUUGCUCACCGCGUACUCGCACUCCGGGGACACCACGACCGCGGUAUCACUGUUUGAUGCAAUGCCGAAUCCGGAUGUCGUGUCAUGGAACACGCUGGUCUCAAGCUAUUGCCAGCAUGGCAUGUAUAGUGAGUCGGUGGCCCUGUUUCUGGAGAUGGCUCGCUCUGGUGUUGCCUCCGACCGGACAACAUUUGCUGUCCUUCUAAAGUCGUGCGGUGCUCUGGACGACUUUGCACUCGGUGUGCAAAUUCAUGCAUUGGCGGUGAAGGCAGGGUUAGAUAUUGAUGUCCGGACUGGGAGUGCUCUCGUGGACAUGUAUGGCAAGUGCAGCAGUUUGGAUGACGCAUUGUUCUUCUUUUAUGGAAUGCCCGAGAGGAACUGGGUCUCGUGGGGUGCAGCCCUUGCUGGGUGCGUUCACAAUGAGCAGUACACUCGUGGGUUGGAGCUGUUCAUGGAGAUGCAGAGGUCAGGAAUGGGGGUGAGCCAGCCGGCUUAUGCGAGUGUCUUUAGAUCCUGCGCAGCAAAAUCAUGUCUGAGCACUGGUAGGCAGUUACAUGCACAUGCCAUAAAGAAUAACUUCAGUAUUGACCGUAUUGUUGGGACAGCUAUUGUGGAUGUUUAUGCUAAGGCUAAUAGCUUGGUGGAUGCUAAAAGGGCAUUCUUUGGGUUGCCCAGCCAUACAGUGCAAACGUGCAAUGCCAUGAUGGUUGGGCUUGUGCGCGCAGGGCUUGCAAAUGAGGCCUUGGAACUGUUUCAGUUCAUGACCAGGUCAGGUAUUGGUUUUGAUGCAGUCAGUUUAUCGGGUGUCUUCAGUGCUUGUGCAGAGAUUAAGGGGUAUUUAAAAGGGCUACAAGUCCACUGCUUAGCAAUGAAAUCAGGUUUUGAGACGGACAUCUGUGUCAGAAAUGCAAUUCUUGAUCUGUAUGGAAAGUGCAAAGCAUUGGUAGAAGCGUACUUUAUCUUCCAGGAUAUGGAGGAACGAGAUUCAAUCUCUUGGAAUGCUAUUAUUGCUGCUCUUGAGCAAAAUGGGCGCUAUGAGGACACCGCAGUUCAUUUUAAUGAGAUGCUGCGCUUUGGUAUGGAACCUGAUGAUUUCACAUAUGGUAGUGUCCUUAAGGCUUGUGCAGCUUUACAAUCUUUGGAGUUUGGUUUGAUGGUACAUGACAAGGUUAUCAAGUCAGGACUUGGUUCAGAUGCUUUUGUAGCUAGCACUGUUGUUGACAUGUACUGCAAAUGUGGUAUGAUGACAGAUGCUCAGAAACUCCAUGACAGAAUUGGGAAGCAAGAACUUGUUUCAUGGAAUGCCAUCAUGUCAGGAUUUUCACUGAACAAACAGAGUGAGGAUGCCCAGAAAAUCUUCUCACAGAUGUUAGAUAUUGGACUUAAGCCUGAUCAUUUCACCUAUGCUACAGUUCUUGACACUUGUGCUAACCUAGCUACCAUUGAGAUCGGGAAGCAGAUCCAUGGUCAGAUAAUUAAGCAAGAAAUGCUGGUAGAUGAAUAUAUAUCCAGCACCCUUAUAGACAUGUACGCCAAGUGUGGGUACAUGCAAGACUCACUGCUAAUGUUUGAGAAGGCACAGAAACGGGAUUUUGUGUCAUGGAAUGCUAUGAUAUGCGGCUAUGCGCUCCAUGGUCAAGGAGCAGAAGCACUCAAGAUGUUUGAUAGGAUGCAAAGGGAGGAUGUGGUUCCGAACCAUGCAACUUUCGUUGCUGUGCUCCGGGCUUGCAGCCAUGUUGGUCUGCUGGAUGAUGGAUGUUGUUACUUCCAUCAGAUGACCACCCGCUACAAACUGGAACCACAACUGGAGCACUUUGCUUGCAUGGUUGAUAUACUAGGACGGUCAAAGGGACCGCAGGAAGCUCUGAAGCUUAUUGGCACCAUGCCUUUUGAGGCGGAUGCAGUCAUCUGGAAGACUCUCCUAAGCGUUUGCAAGAUCCAUCGGGAUGUUGAGGUGGCUGAACUUGCUGCCGGCAAUGUUCUACGACUGGAUCCUGAGGAUUCUUCAGUUUACAUUCUUCUGUCAAAUGUAUAUGCAGAAUCAGGGAAAUGGGCUGAUGUUUCUAGGACAAGAAGGUUAAUGAAGCAGGGAAGGCUUAAGAAGGAACCUGGCUGUAGCUGGAUUGAGGUGCAAAAUGAGAUGCAUGGAUUCCUUGUAGGAGAUAACGUCCAUCCGAGAUCGAGGGAGCUGUAUGACAUGCUGCAUGAUUUGAUUGAUGAGAUGAAACUGUCUGGAUAUGACCCUGAUUUAGCUUCUUUUGCUGAGGUUGACGAAGAGGGCAGUGCAUCCGAGCAAGAUGAUUUACUUGGAAUGGUUGGUGGCUAG
This 2583-nucleotide ribosomal RNA is filed under the name Triticum aestivum (bread wheat). RNAcentral's name for it is "partial small subunit ribosomal RNA". Lineage: Eukaryota; Viridiplantae; Streptophyta; Magnoliopsida; Poales; Poaceae. The record is from RNAcentral.